Molecule: ribosomal RNA, 478 nt
Filed under: uncultured bacterium
Lineage: Bacteria
Description: partial 16S ribosomal RNA
Rfam family: Bacterial small subunit ribosomal RNA
Source: RNAcentral
GACGAACGCUGGCGGCGUGCUUAACACAUGCAAGUCGAACGGUAAGGCCCUUCGGGGUACACGAGUGGCGAACGGGUGAGUAACACGUGGGUGAUCUGCCCUGCACUUCGGGAUAAGACUGGGAAACUGGGUCUAAUACCGGAUAGGACCACUGCCUGCAUGGGUGGCGGUGGAAAGCGUUUGCGGUGUGGGAUGGGCCCGCGGCCUAUCAGCUUGUGGGUGGGGUGAUGGCCUACCAAGGCGACGACGGGUAGCCGGCCUGAGAGGGUGACCGGCCACACUGGGACUGAGAUACGGCCCAGACUCCUACGGGAGGCAGCAGUGGGGAAUAUUGCACAAUGGGCGCAAGCCUGAUGCAGCGACGCCGCGUGAGGGAUGACGGCCUUCGGGUUGUAAACCUCUUUCAGCACCGACGAAGCGCAAGUGACGGUAGGUGCAGAAGAAGGACCGGCCAACUACGUGCCAGCCGCCGCGGUAA